RNAcentral lists this ribosomal RNA (582 nucleotides) under Sphingomonas sanguinis. RNAcentral's name for it is "bacterial SSU rRNA". It matches the Rfam family "Bacterial small subunit ribosomal RNA", at positions 64 to 692 of the family's 1533-position model. Lineage: Bacteria; Pseudomonadati; Pseudomonadota; Alphaproteobacteria; Sphingomonadales; Sphingomonadaceae. The record is from RNAcentral.
GAACGAAGGCUUCGGCCUUAGUGGCGCACGGGUGCGUAACGCGUGGGAAUCUGCCCUUUGGUUCGGAAUAACAGCUGGAAACGGCUGCUAAUACCGGAUGAUGACGAGAGUCCAAAGAUUUAUCGCCAGAGGAUGAGCCCGCGUUGGAUUAGGUAGUUGGUGGGGUAAAGGCCUACCAAGCCGACGAUCCAUAGCUGGUCUGAGAGGAUGAUCAGCCACACUGGGACUGAGACACGGCCCAGACUCCUACGGGAGGCAGCAGUGGGGAAUAUUGGACAAUGGGCGAAAGCCUGAUCCAGCAAUGCCGCGUGAGUGAUGAAGGCCCUAGGGUUGUAAAGCUCUUUUACCCGGGAAGAUAAUGACUGUACCGGGAGAAUAAGCCCCGGCUAACUCCGUGCCAGCAGCCGCGGUAAUACGGAGGGGGCUAGCGUUGUUCGGAAUUACUGGGCGUAAAGCGCACGUAGGCGGCUUUGUAAGUCAGAGGUGAAAGCCUGGAGCUCAACUCCAGAACUGCCUUUGAGACUGCAUCGCUUGAAUCCAGGAGAGGUCAGUGGAAUUCCGAGUGUAGAGGUGAAAUUCGUA